UACGGGGAGGCAGCAGUGGGGAAUAUUGCACAAUGGGCGAAAGCCUGAUGCAGCUAUGCCGCGUGUAUGAAGAAGGCCUUAGGGUUGUAAAGUACUUUCAUCGGGGAGGAAAAACAAAACUAAUAAUUUUAUUUCUUGACGUUACCCGAAAAAGAAGCACCGGCUAACUCCGUGCCAGCAGCCGCGGUAAUACGGAGGGUGCUAGCGUUAAUCAGAAUUACUGGGCGUAAAGAGCACGUAGGUGGUUUUUUUAAGUCAGAUGUGAAAUCCCCUGGGCUUAACCUAGGAACUGCAUUUUGAAACUGAAAUACUAGAGUAUCGUAGAGGGAGGUAGAAUUCUAGGUGUAGCGGUGAAAUGCGUAGAUAUCUGGAGGAAUACCUGUGGCGAAAGCGGCCUCCUAAACGAAUACUGACACUGAGGUGCGAAAGCGUGGGGAGCAAACAGGGAUUAGAUACCCGU
Molecule: ribosomal RNA, 460 nt
Filed under: uncultured bacterium
Lineage: Bacteria
Description: bacterial SSU rRNA
Rfam family: Bacterial small subunit ribosomal RNA
Source: RNAcentral